GACGAACGCUGGCGGCGUGCUUAACACAUGCAAGUCGAACGGAAAGGCCCUGCUUGUGUGGGGUGCUCGAGUGGCGAACGGGUGAGUAACACGUGAGUAACCUGCCCUGGACUUUGGGAUAACUUCAGGAAACUGGGGCUAAUACCGGCUAGGAGCUCCUGCUGCAUGGUGGGGGUUGGAAAGUUUCGGCGGUUGGGGAUGGACUGGCGGCUUAUCAGCUUGUGGGUGGGGUAGUGGCUUACCAAGGCUUUGACGGGUAGCCGGCCUGAGAGGGUGACCGGCGAUCUUGGGACUGAGAUGAGGCCGAGACUCCUACGGUAGGCAGCAGUGCGGAAUAUUGCACAAUGGGCGGAAGCCUGAUGCAGCAACGCCGCGUGCGGGAUGACGGCCUUCGGGUUGUAAACCGCUUUCGCCUGUGACGAAGGGUGAGUGACGGUAAUGGGUAAAGAAGCACCGGCUAACUACGUG
This 468-nucleotide ribosomal RNA is filed under the name uncultured bacterium. RNAcentral's name for it is "partial 16S ribosomal RNA". It matches the Rfam family "Bacterial small subunit ribosomal RNA", at positions 28 to 507 of the family's 1533-position model. The record is from RNAcentral.